AGGACGAACGCUGGCGGCGUGCUUAACACAUGCAAGUCGAGCGAGGCCCCACCUUCGGGUGGGUGUCCUAGCGGCGAACGGGUGAGUAGCACGUGGGCAACCUGCCCCUAGCACUGGGAUAACUCCGGGAAACCGGGGCUAAUACCGGAUACGACUUCGGAAGGCAUCUUCUGAAGUGGAAAGGGUUACUGGGCUAGGGAUCGGGGCCCGCGGUCCUAUCAGUCUUGGUUGGUGGGUAACGGCCUACCAAGGCCUCCGACGGGUA
RNAcentral lists this ribosomal RNA (265 nucleotides) under uncultured soil bacterium. RNAcentral describes it as "partial 16S ribosomal RNA". It matches the Rfam family "Bacterial small subunit ribosomal RNA", at positions 26 to 285 of the family's 1533-position model. The record is from RNAcentral.